This 11752-nucleotide long non-coding RNA is filed under the name Ananas comosus (pineapple). Its description in RNAcentral is "long non-coding RNA (ACOM_LNC031637)". The record is from RNAcentral. Lineage: Eukaryota; Viridiplantae; Streptophyta; Magnoliopsida; Poales; Bromeliaceae.
GCAUUUGACCUCACUCAAAUUUUUUUUUUUCACAAAUAGCCCUAUCAAAUUUAUAAUUGUAAAUUUGACCCUAUUCUUGCCACGCAAGAGUCCCAUCAGCAUCAUGCAAGCCGGCUGGGGAGUGGCGUUAAGUUGAAUACGGUGAACCAUUCACUAUGUUCAAACACGGUGAAUGGUUUAUUGUGUUCCAUACUUCUAUUCCCCUUUUUUGAUACUUAUAUUUUUUUUUCACCAUGUCUACUGUGUUUAGACACGGUGAAUGGAUUACCGUGUUCAACUUAUUUCAGCAUCUCCAUCUUUGUUCACGUGGCGCUUACGUGGCGCCUGUGUGGCAGGGAUAGAGCCAAAAUUACAAUUACAAAUUUUGUGGUGUUAUUUGUGAAAAUAAUUUUUUGAGGAAGCCAAAUGCAAAAAAAGCUCAAGAAGUAGAGAUCUCAACCCUUUUUUUUGGGAUAAUAUAUUUAGGGAUAAUUGCCUAUAUACCGCUCAUACGUUUGAAAAUAUUCAAUUUAUCCCUACUUUUUUUUUCUUUCUAAAAUACCCUUUAUAUGUUUCACCGUUAUUACAAAAUAUCCCCGCAGUUAUCUCAUUUUAAGUUAACUUGGGUUAAACGUGAGUUAAAUAUCUACCACAGUUAAAAAAAAAUUAAAAUGCCAAUUUUGUCCUUAACUUAAGGACAAAUAAGAAAUGUUGGUGACGGUAGAGGGGUAUAUUGGAAAAGACCAAAAGUCAAAAUACUUUUUGUGCUCCUGACUUUAAGGGCAAAUAAAAAAGUCAGUGACGGUGGAAGGGUAUAUUUGAAAGGGCAAAAUAGUAAUUUUACAAAGUUAACAAGGUUAAUUAACAGAUUUUAACUCUAGGGGUAUAUAAAAAAUAGGUCAGAACGUAAAGAGGGUAUUUCAAUAUUAGCCUUCUAAGAGGGGUAAAUCGGAAAGUCGGAAACUUUUCAGGAGUAUAUAAGCAAUUGCCCCUAAUAUUUAAUAGGGAUAAUUGCCUUAUAUACCGCUCAAAACUUCAAAAUAUCUCAUUUACCCCUAUUUUUUUUCUUUUUCAAUAUACCCCUCAUAUGUUUCUCUGUUAUUCCAAAAUACUCCUACAGUUACCACCCAUUAAGUUAACUUCAGUUAAACAUGAGUUAAGUAUCUACUGGAGUUAAAAAAAAAAUCAAAUGCCUAUUUUGCCAUUAACUUAGGCUUAGUUUGGUAUUGAGGUCUAUCUAAUGCUAUUAGAUAGAAUGGAGUUGAGAAAAAGCAUAUAGGGAUAUGCUUCUGCGUUCUCCGAUGAGACCGCAGAAAAUAUAUCGUAACCGACUAACCGCAAUAUGCAAAACGCAAUAUUAUGUACGGAAACAAACAGAGUAUUUUCCAAUCGUCGUUUCUCACCGCAUAUAACGCAAUCUCCCCGCAAUCCCAAACGAAGCCUUAAGGGUAAAUACGAAAUAUUGGUGAUGGUAGAAGGGUAUAUUUGAAAAGACCAAAAAUCAAAAUACGUUUUGUACCCUAACUUAAGGGCGAAUAAGAAAAGUCGGUGAUGGUGGAAAGGUAUAUUUGAAAGGGUAAAAUAAUAAUUUCAUACAGAUAACGGCUAUUGCUAACAGUUCAUUAAUAUAAUUUAACUUUAGGGUAUAUUUGAAAUAGGUUGCAACGUAAAAAAAUAUUUUUAAUUUUAGUCUUUUAAGAGGGGUAAAUCAGAAAGUCGAAAAUUUUUCAGGGAUAUAUAAACAAUUGUCCCUAUUCAACUACCCUUCGAAACUUAAAAAAUAUAUAAUAUAUAUUUCUGGUUGAUCAAAAUAUUUUUAUUGAUGUUUAAAAAUCUCUUCAAAUAUCCCCAAAUCUUUUAGGGUUUACUUAUAGGAAUUGAGGUACGGAAGGGUAUUUUGAUAAUUUCAGAAAUUUUGAAGGCGAAAGCCCUUUUUUUAAUCAGAAAUACAUAUGUAGCAAUUUCAACUUCCAAUUCCUUGGAUAGUCAUUCUGGAUAAUAAAUUACUAUUUUACGUAACGGUUGUUUUUACAUUGAAUUUGUUGUCCUUUAGAGAUACAUAAUUUGAUAAAGAGUGAUGCUACUGGUACAAUCCCAUGUGGGUUGUAGAUCAUACAACCAUUAGAUCCAAGGGCUGAAAUUAAUCUGAUUUAGGAAAAAAGAAAAAAUGAUAACUUCACUCCCCCUUUUCUUUUCCUUACACUUUCUCUUUUUUCCUCUUUUCUUCUGGGGCAUCUUGCGAGAGAGAGAGACCUGCGAGCGCCCUCCCUGCCGACAUCCCUCUUUUCUUCCAGGGCAUCCUCCGCCCGAGAGAGAGGCGAGUGUAAGAUAUUGAUUUCCCAUCUUAUUAAACCACUUUUGGUCAAAAGGACCAAAGCGUGGCGAGAGAGAUGCUUGGACAUAGCCCAUGGGACAUUCCAAUAAUGUUGGAAGGGUAAAGUUGAGUUCUAAAAGAGAUGAUUGAGUUUUAAUAUUGUUUGGCGUGAAAUAGAAGUUGAACAAGUGCAAAACUGCAGUCUGGGCAUUUUGUAACCGGUUAAACAUCAGAGUGGUACCGGUACCCCGUAGCAGACUGAGAGUAGCAGCUCUCGGGUUUGAGUAUUUUAGGCUGUUAAACCGGUGACACCCCUAAUACGUACCGGUACCAGAUCAGUUAACCGAGAAUGCAGCUCUCGGGUUUGGCCUCUGCGCAGCUGGUUAACCGGUGACAGAAAGCCCGCGUACCAGUACCAAGUGCAGAAAACUGCAGGUUGCAGUAUGUUGCAAAUAGCAAUUGUUGGGGGGUUUAUUGCAGUUAUGGCAGCUUAUAAAUAGAUCUCAUCUCCCCUCUCUUGUUCACAACUAGAGAACACUUCUUCUUCAUCUUUUUUCUCACUUUCUCUCUCUAGAAGCUCUCCCAAGGGUGGAAGCAAGUGAAGGGAUUGGUGGAGGUUGAAGCGAGGAAGUGGAUCUUCGUCUUCUUCAUCUUUUUUCUUGGCUUGGAGGCGUUGUGGAGAGAUAAGCUCUUGGAGCUUUAAUGGUAGAUUUCUAGGGUUUGAGUUUUAAACUCUAGAAUUGGUUUUAGUGGAACCCUUUGGUACUAAAUAGAUGUUAUUUACUUGAAUCGAGAAUCCUUAUAGUGUAUUCAUGCAAGAUCGAACAUCUAGGGUUACGAAAAAGGGUUUUGUUAAAUUGAGAUUCAAAGUUGGGAUUGAUCUCUUUUAUAUCUAUCUCCUAGGUAAUCGAACGCAUUCGUGAACUCAGUUCGGCAAUCCGACGAGUCGGCGCGAAGAUAUUAAAGGAAAGCCUAUUUUUGGCUUCGUUUGCCGUAGUCGAGAGAGAUAGGCGGCGGAAAAUUACGAAAGUUGGAGUCUAGGUUCGUAGCAUCACCAGAAGGUGGGGAGUGUCCAUCCCGAAGCAGUUAAACUUCCUUUUUUGUCCAAGUUGUUUUAUUAUAACAUCUGUUCAUAUAUAUUGUUAUCAUGCAUUAUAGGUUGUGUUAAGUAGUUGUACUUCAAUUCCUUACAUGUUUCUAUAGAAGAAAUCAUAUAGUGAGUUGAGCACUUGAUUUAGUGGACACAUGAGGAUUGGGUCUUGACAUGGAAUCCUAUAGUGCCAAAGAAUAAAAGAUGCACUUGGACAUGUAAAUGAACUCAAAGAGUGGCAUUUGGACUAGUGUAGUGGAAACACUAUGACAUGAACUUAGGAAUAGAUGAUGAUUUCCUGAGUAGUAGCAUGUAAACCAAAGAGUGGUAUUUGGACUAGUGUAGUGAAAACACUUACAACUUGAUGACAUGAACUUAUGAAUAAAAGAUGAUUUCCUAAGUAGUAGCAUGUGAACUAGUGCAACAGAGACCUAACUAUCCUCGAGUCAGAGAAUUGGAUCGUACUCACAUAGUCUGUGUAACCUUGGUGUGGUCGCCCCACCCAAGUGAGCUCCGGAGUAGAUGUCAUGUUUGGGUAACACGAUUACCCAGCAGGCGGUCUCUGGUGUGUGUAGCGCAGAGUCUACUCACCAGUGAGAUUUGAGAUGUGAGUUUGGGCAUAACCCCCGGGUUAGCCGAGAUGAGAUUGGACAUCAGACAUAGUACUUGAUAGUAGGUUUCAUUGCUAUAUAGACAUUUCAUUUAUAUCAUGCAGAUUGAGAUAUAGUAUCAUGUUAGUAGAGUGCAUUACUAUUGUUCAUGCAUUCAUUCUGUUUAUUUAGGCAUAGUAGUAUGUUGUAGGUUUUGUUACUAUGUAGCAGCUCAUUUUCAUAUCUAUCUAUCUAUCUACUUAUACCUGCUUAGACCUAGUUGGAAGAUCGGCGGAGUCGGCGGCCAAACCCACUAGGAACUAUUCGUAGUUCUCACCCCACUUUGGUUGCAGGGCCGAGUUCGAGCGGACAGGGCGAGGACCGCGGUAAGGGCAUAGCGCCCUAGUUAGCUAGCAGCUUUCCUUAUGCAUUAGUACACCCUAUAUAGAUGGGAGAACAUGAUGUAUAUAUAUUUUGGUGAGUUGUGGAUGAACAUGUAUACAUUUUGGAGACGAAAAAUAUAAACUCGAUGUAUAUGUUGAAUGGAAUUGUAAUAGCUAGAUCUUUCUCUCUUUUGUUGAUUGCUUGUAUUACUACUUGCUUAGAGCAUGUGUGAGGUUAAUGUUUCCUGGGCAACUGUUUACAUAUAUGAUCUCAUUGUUGUUAGCCUUGGGCUGGCAGGGGAGGCUCUGUCCGUUCGACGUCUGAUCAACGUACCCGAACUAACCAAAUUGACGGUCCCGGGGCGUGACAGCGAGGGUGGGAGAGAGAGCGAGAGCGAGCUGUGCGAGAGAUAGAGAAAGAGAGCGAGAGGUGCGAGAGACAGAGAAAGAGAGGGUUAGUAGUUGCAUCCUCCGCCCUCUUCCUCCUCUUUUCUCCAUCUCUACUUCCUCUCUCUCUCUCUCACUCUCUCUCUCUCUCUCUCUCUCUCUCUCUCUCUCUCUCUUCAUUCUUCUCCCAUUUUUCGGCGAACUCAUGUCAUGCGGCCAUCCUCACAGUCUCUUCCUCUAUUUUCGGUUGGACUUGUAAAGCUGCGAUGCUUAGCCCAAUCCACACGUACGCCCCACACGAAGGCAGCAGUGAGUAAAUUAUAAUUUUUUCUUUAAUUUGAAUGCAGUUUUUCAUUUGAACUAAUUAAGAAGUCAUUGCUUCAUUUGAACUCAUUGAUUCACAUAAUUUUUCAAUAGUUUGUAGCAUUUUUGAGUAAAUUAUUAAUUUCUAAUUAUGGUGAAUUAUUUCACUAAUUUUUUCACUGAUUUGGACUAUGAUCUACUAGUUAACAGAUGAUGUAUUUUUAUUAUAAUUGUAUUUUAUUGAAAAUUUUCUGUGCUUAACAAUAUUUUGUAUUAAUAGGAUUUUUUUUACUUGAGUAGGUAGAUGUAUAGGUCUUCCAUAGGAUAUUGUUUUUCUGAAUUUGGUAAGUUUAAUUUUGUUUCCGCUAUAGCAAUUUUGUUGAUAUUUCAGCUAGUAAUUUUUCUCCAUGAUUUCGUAUUCAAGUCUCUCUGUUACAAUAAUAUGAAGUUUUUUAUGUUAUAGUUUUUAUUUUUUAGUUAUUUAACUCGAAGAUGAGGGUCGAUGUAAAUUGAGAUGGCAUUUAAUAGAAUCAAAAUCAAAAAUGGAAUUCCGAUUUCGUUGGAUGAAUCUCUAAACAAGACAUGCCACACAGCAAACAAACUCUGAACUAUGCACUUUGAUUUGAUUAAAAUCAAUUCUUGUUUCACCUAGGAAAACAAGUUCUGGAUGAAUUGACAAUGCCAACUCGAAUAAUUCAGCAUAUUCCACAUUAAUAGGAGUACAUUUAUGUUUGUGCUUCACGAAUAUGAUAUUGGCCAACUCAGUACCAGAAGUGUCUUCGCACUGCUGGAGAAUGAUACAGUAAAGGCUCACGUUCGCCAUUGUCUAUGACGAUCACAAGUUAUUAUGUCACUAGCAUGCAAAGGCUCACGUUCGCCAUUAUCUAUGACGAUCACAAGUGUCUGCCGCGAACGAACCGGCCCCGCUGUAGGGUGUUUCUAGGGCGAGUGGUCAUUCAUGGUAGAGAUAAAGUUUGUUUAUAUUUUUAUUUUAAAAUCAGGAUUAUAGGUUCAUGGCUUCCAACAGACUCAAGAAUCUGUUGUUAAUUACCCCACACUGUCAGUAUUAAGGAACCCUCGAUUAAGAGACCAAAUAUAAAUACUGAUAAAAGAGACCAAGCAGGAAAAUAAAAUUUUAUUCAUAUGAUUUGCCGUUUACAUAGCUUAAGCAGGGGCAUACCCCCACUGUACAUGAAUUUCAUAAAAUGACACAGCAUUCGGUUGAAGUUUUGAUUUAUUAAAUCCUAAGUAUAUGUAUUAGGAUUUAAUUGGAUUUGAGAUUGACUAGGUCCUAAGUAUAUGUGUUAAGACCUAGUCGAUAUUAGACUCUAUGUAUUAGAGUCUAAUUGGCUCUAAGUAUAUGUUUUAGAGUCCAAUUAUAUUCACCUUGGUUAUAUGUUCCAAGGUGGAGAUGUGACCAAACCUCAAGUAUAUGUAUUGAGGUGGGUCGAAUUACCCGAAAGUAGAGAGUGGCUGAUUCCUGAGUAUAUGUAUCAGGAUUAACCGAGUUUAAUAUGUUUUCACUCUAGUUAUAUGUGCUAGAGUGAAGAUCUGACUAAGCCCUAAGUAUAUGUAUUAGGGGUAGUCGGAUUUGAUUCAUAUGAACUCUAAGUAUAUAUAUUAGAGCUCGAUCGGGUAUGAGUUUCACUCCAGGUAUAUGUACUAGAGUGAAAGGCUGACUAGACCCUAAGUAUAUGGGUUAGGAUUAGUCGAACAUGGUUUGACUUCCGCUCUAGGUAUAUGUGCUAGAGCAAAAGACCGACUAGACCCUAGGUAUAUGUGCUAGGGUUAGUCGAGCAUGAUUUAACUUCAGCUCUAGGUAUAUGUACUAGAGCAAAAGGUUGACUAGACCCUAAGUAUAUAUGUUAGGGUUAGCCGGAUGAACUCUAAGUAUAUGUUUUAGAGUCCGAAUGAAGUUGAUAUCAUUUGACUGAAUUCUAAUUAUAUGGUUUAGAACUCUGUCGAUUUGGAGAUAUUUCGCCUUAGUUAUAUGUGUCAAGGCGAUUGACAUAGCCCUAAGUAUAUGUAUUAGGGUGGUCGAUGUUUAAUUUUUUUUACUCUAGGUAUGUGUGCUAGAGUAAAAAAAAAGGUUCAUGAGAUUUGGGUAUUGGUUCAUGAGAUUUGAGUAUUGGCUCAUGAGAUUUGGUUCAUGAAUUUGGAUAUGGUUCAUGGAUUUGGUGUAUGGACUUGGUUCAUGAAUUUGGAUAUGGUUCAUGGAUUUGGUGUAUGGACUUGGUUCAUGAACUUGGAUAUGGUUCAUGGAUUUGGUGUAUGGGCUUGGUUCAUGAACUUGGAUAUGAUUCAUGGAUUUGGUGUAUGGACUCGGUUCAUGAACUUGGAUAUGGUUCAUGGAUUUGGUGUAUGGGCUUGGUUCAUGAACUUGGAUAUGUUCAUGAACUUGGAUAUGAUUCAUGGAUUUGAUGUAUGGACUCGGUUCAUGAACUUGGAUAUGGUUCAUGGAUUUGGUGUAUAGGCUUGGUUCAUGGUUCAUGAAAUCCGAGUUUAGUUUAACGAUGACAUUUCGGUCGUUUGGAUUUGGGUUUAGUUUAUCGACGUUUCGGUCGAUUGAAAUCGAGGUAUUCAUGAAACUGAUUCAUGAAAUUAAAUAAUGCUAGGAGCCCAUUUGUAAAGUCCACCAAGUUAUUUGAUGAAAUUAAUUCAUGAUAGGGGCCAUUUGGAGAGCCCAUUGGUUCAUGAUAUUAAUUUAUGACAAAGAGGACCCAUGAAACUAAUUCAUAGAAUUAAUUCGUGAUAGGGAAUACAUUUGGAAAGCCCAAAAAAUUAAUUCAUAGAAUUAAUUCAUAGUGAGGGGCCCAUUUGGGAAGCCCAUGAAUUUGGUUUGGGUUGGAGGUAUUUGGGUGACAUAGGUUUGAUAGAUUUGAUUGGGUUUUAUUUGUAGACUUUGGAUUUUGGAUUUUUAUUUGUGAACUUUGGGUUUUGGAUCUUUUUAUUCGUGGACUUUGUGGAUUUUGGGUUUUGGAUCUUUAUUUGUGAACUUUGUGGAUUUUGGGUUUUUGGGUUUUUAUUUGUGGACUUUGUGGGUUUGGGUUUUUGGGUUUUUGGGUUUUUAUUUGUGGACUUUGUGGGUUUGGGUUGUGGAUCUUUAUUUGUGGACUUUGUGGGAUUGAGUUGAGGAAUUUUAUUCAUAUGUUUUUAUUGGCUUUUGAUCCAAAUCUGAAUGUGGGUUGAAAUAAAUUUCAGACUUUGCAUAUUUUGGGCCUUGGACCCGAAUCUAUAUGUGGGUUGAAGUAUGCUGCGGACUUUACAUGUUCUGGGCCCGAACCUGUAUAUGGGCUGGACUUUUAUUGAUUUAUAUCUGCACAUGGGCUGGAUUUCGGGCUUCACAUGUUUUGGGCCUUGGACCCGAAUUUGUAUGUAGACUGAGAUUAGUCUUGAGCUUCACAUGCUCUGGGUCUUGAACCCGAAUUUGCAUACGGACUUUGUAUUAUUUUUGAUUGCUUAUGAAAUUAGGCCCGUAAUGGAUUAACUCAUUGAAUUAAAUAACUCCGAUUUAAUUCCUCAAACUUUAUUCCCCUUUCUUUUUUUUUCCUUUUUUUUUGCUCUCUUUUUUUUUUUACUAAGAGUGAGGGAAUAAUAAUUGUUUUCUUUUUUUUUUGUUUUCUUUUUGUUGACUGUCAGAGAGAGAGAGAAGUCCAACUCCCUCUCUUUUUGUAUUUUGUUUUUCAUUCUUCUCUUUUUCUUUUUUUUUUUCGUUUCCUUUUUUCUUUUCUUUUCUCUUUUUUCUCCUUUUUUUUUUUUUUGACUGUUAGUGAGAGGGAGAGAAGUCCAACUCUCUCUCUUUUUUUUUGUAUUCCCUUUUUUUUUUUUUGUUGACUGGCAGGGAGAGGAAACAAAUCCCUUUUUUUUUUGUUGACUGCGAGAGAUAGAGAGAGAGAGUUAGACAACUCUCUCUUUAGACAACUCUCUCUCUCUCUCUCUUUAUCUCUGUACGAAACAGAGAGAGAAAGGGAGAAUUGCUCUAUUUUUUUUUUCUUUCUUUUUGUUGUUUGUUUCUUCUCUUUUUUUUUUGUUUUGUUUCUUCUUUUUUUUUUUGUGGUCCGAAAAAUGAAGUUGACGCGUCGAGCCAGUACGAUCGCAUCGAGAACGAAGGUGGCGAUCGAAACAGAACUUGUCCAUUUUUUUUUUUAUUACAACGUUUUGUUCAAGUGGCGCGGGUUUAAUCGUGUCGACCUAUCACGAAGAUGGCCGCACGAUUUUUAUACCCAUGUCGAGCCUAUCACGAAGAUGGCCGCACGGUUUUUUUUUUUUAUACCAUGUCGAGCCUAUCACGAAGAAAUGGCCGCACGGUUGAUACAUACGACGGAAGCAGAUAAUUUAAUGUCAAAUUUGAUCGGUUCGAAAAUCAAUCCGAAGAUGGUCGGAUUGAUCAAAUUGACAAAAAAAAAAAACGCACGGUUUGGAGAUUAUAAUGCAUACGCGCAACGGAAGCAACGAUUUUAAUGUCGGAUUUGAUUGAUUCGAAACCUAUCACGAAGAUGGUCGCGUUGAUCAAACCAACAAAAAAACCGUACUUACGCUGUGCGUAUGCAUGCGUAUCCCCUAUUAUUGUAGAAAUCGUCGUGAUUGUUUUUUUCUUUGCUGUUCUUCUCUUUCAGAUCCCCCUCUUCUUUUUUUUGAGAGGCCUUAUAAUAAGAUCCUAACUAUCUUUUGAAAAUUAUUCAAAAAAAAUAUAAAAAGGGAAUGAUAUUUUCAUACAAGGUAUGAAUCUUUUUUUCUUUUUUUUUUUUACCAUUUUUUCUUUUCAAUCAAUUUUUUCUUUCCUUUCCCUAUCCCCUUCCUUCUAUACUUUCAUUUUGAAUUUUGAUUUUUUUUUUUUCAAACAACAAGUUAUAGCACUCAAGAUCUAAUCCCUCUAGUUCCACUAGCCAUGUAGUGUUUCAUGUCAUUACUACUCAUCUCUAGUAUGCAUGUCCUUAUUUGCAUAAGAAGAACUUAAUACAAUAUAUACUACAACAUGUAGUAAUGCAUAAGAAGAACUUAAUACAAUAUAUACUACAACAUACUUUACUACAAGAAGUAUAUCAAUUAAUCUCUACUAAAUAGAGUAUUCCAACUAACCUCUACUAAAUAGAGUAUGGCAAUUUCAUAUAUGUCAAAUUAUCUCUACUAUAUCGAGUAUGCAAAAUAUCAUACAUAACAUAUGUCACACCCCGGGACCCAGCGGAAGCCUGCCCGGUGCGUGUCCAGACCCUUCAUAUGCCUACAACAUAUAACGCAUCUGCAACAAGCGAUAAAUAAAACGAGAAUAAAAAAUAUCUAGAGAUAUCAGAGCAUACAACAACUAGAUUCUAAAAUAAGGAAGGAUAAAUAAGAACUAAUCCACUAAUAUAAAUAGUAAAAGUACAUACAACGACAAAACCCCAAAUACAAGUGCUAUAAAAUCCAAAAAUGGUGGUCUCUAUACAUGGGUACAAAAACUCUCAUCCUCUCCAAAAAGGAACAAAAAGAGAGGUGAACCACCUAUCGUAAAAUCCCUCACUAACUAGCUCGAGGCGAUUUCUUUCCCGCGAUCCCGAGCCUCUCCCGGAGUGGAGGCUCUGUAAGAAAAACAACAAAACAGGGGGGCGUGAAAACUAUUAAACAAUAGUUUCCAGUGGGCAAUUGCUGACCUUAGCGAAAAUGCACCACUAGGCUAAAAAGCAAAAGUAGUAAGUUCUAACAAUUAAUUGCAAGGAAUAGUAUGAAUAUUUAACAUGAAUUGAAUUUACUAAAUACUAUGCCCCUACUUUAGCAUGAAUUUUCAUGAUUAUAAAUGCUAUUCUAACAUGAAUAUGCAUAAGUAUAACCAACAAGAUGUCCACAAUGUAACUAGUAAAUGUCAUUGUUUACUAAUUGUCUAAUGUCCACUUUGCAUUUUAGUUCAUUAGUAUCCCAAUCAUGUAGGACCUACCCGUGGGUAGUCCGGCCUGCGCAGUGCCUAAUAGCCCCAUAGUAGUCAACAUUCCCACCCUAGGAACGAGCCUCCCCUACGGCAUCCUAUUUCGGCACCCAAUCCCGCACGGGCGAGCUUAUGUCGCGAUGGCUAUCUCCGGAGUGCCGGCUUGUGGGGAGCGACCCUCACAAGCAUGUACAAAUGAGCACAAUGGCAAGCAAGCAUAAAUAUCCGUCUCAAGUCUAAUGUCAUCAUGUCUAAAACAUGGUACAAAAACUAGUGACCCAAUGGCCUAUCACUAUAUCAUCAAGUAAAGGUUUCACAUUUACUAUGUUCCAUGCCACUUUAUGACAUUCUUAUCCACUACAUCAAAUAUGAGUUCUGAGUCUAAGAGCAUAUCAUAUAAGUCAUUUUCUUUACAAGCAACAUGUAACAUACCGAACUUCUAAAACUUUGAAGUUACGGUGUACAUUUGGUUGGAAAGUCAUUUGAAUGAUCUCGAUAAAGUUCGGUGAAGUUCUGGAGCAUUCGGGCGUUUCGGUGCGCGUAGGCGCGAAAACGAAACCCGAAAGGCCAUGUUGGGCCGUGAGCUAAAUCCAGCAUUAGUGUGGAUGAAAAGAUGAUGAAAAUAUGUUCGAAAACAUGUUUGGAGAGUCUCGGUUCGAUUUGAAAAGAAUCGGAGGUCAAACGAGCGAAAACGAGCGAAAACGGAGUGAAAACGGACCCCGAAAGCUGAAAAAGCUGAAAAUUUGGCUAAGUCUGGAAUGCUGUUUUUCUGGACCUUCGGGGACCGGUCCCUCAAGUCCAAGGACC